GACGAACGCUGGCGGCGUGCUUAACACAUGCAAGUCGAACGGAAAGGCCCUGCUUUUGUGGGGUGCUCGAGUGGCGAACUGGUGAGUAACACGUGAGUAACCUGCCCUUGACUUUGGGAUAACUUCAGGAAACUGGGGCUAAUACCGGAUAGGAGCUCCUGCUGCAUGGUGGGGGUUGGAAAGUUUCGGCGGUUGGGGAUGGACUCGCGGCUUAUCAGCUUGUUGGUGGGGUAGUGGCUUACCAAGGCUUUGACGGGUAGCCGGCCUGAGAGGGUGACCGGCCACAGUGGGACUGAGAUGAGGCCCAGACUCCUACGGGAGGCAGAAGUGGGGAAUAAUGCAAAAUGGGCGGAAGCCUGAUGCAGCAACGCCGCGUGCGGGAUGACGGCCUUCGGGUUGUAAACAGCUUUCGACUGUGACGAAGCGUGAGUGACGGUAAUGGGUAAAGAAGCACCGGCUAACUACGUG
RNAcentral lists this ribosomal RNA (468 nucleotides) under uncultured bacterium. Its description in RNAcentral is "partial 16S ribosomal RNA". It matches the Rfam family "Bacterial small subunit ribosomal RNA", at positions 28 to 507 of the family's 1533-position model. The record is from RNAcentral.